UUUAAUUUCUUUCGAUAAAAUUUACACAUUAUCUUCGAUUAUUCAAUAUAAGUAAAAAAGUCAAUGCUGGCAACCUUGUGUAGCAAUAUGGCAUUCCCACGACAGCCCAAUUACGUGUUUCGCUCUCUCAAGUACGACUGCAAAUUACCUCCAUUCACGUGGCACGCAGUUUGACAGUUUUCGGUUUCGCUUGUUUGUUCCAUUUGAAAACGUAUGAAAAUGAAAGAUUUUAGUAAAAGUUAACAAAUUCUUGAAUUGAAUUGAUAAUGUAAUGCCAGUUUCCUUAAUAAUUUCAAUUUUUUCUCCUUUAAUAUACAAAAAGCCAUUGGUUUCAAAUCAAUGAAAAUCUUCUUUUAUGGUUCUCCUCUCUUUUGUUUUGAUUUGCCAGCUGGUUUCGAUAAAAUUUCUAUAAGAAGUAGAGAAGGCAUCGAUUUGGUCGUAAUGCGCAUGGAAAUUAAGAAUGAAUUACCUACUUUUACUGCAAUUCGCUCACGUAAAUAUGUAAGGCGAAUUAAAUAGAUCGGCAUGUAUUUGGGGUGCGAAUUACGAUUAAGAGAGUGAAACUCGUAAUUGGGCUGACGUGGAAAUGACGUAUAACGGCAUGGGCAAGUGGUGACAACUUUGUGUUUACAUGGCGCUCGCAUUAGAUAUGUUGCUAUGAACGGAAGGUAUGUCAGAAGGGUUGUAUCAAAAUUUGUUACCGUACCAUCAGGAGAUGACUACCUCUCGUCCUGAUUCUAUUUAUGUUAUUCAGAUCUAUCUUCGGUAAUAAGGAAUUCAAAUUUCUUUUUAUAUGCCGAUGAUGUGAAAAUUUGGGUCGACUUCACGAGGGUGCGCCAAGAUUUGAAAAAACUUACUUUUAGGGAGUAAACAAGGUCAUACACAUCACAAAAAUAUAUGCCAAGUUUUCGAGUAAUUUAUUGAUUAAAUUUUUUUUUGACCAACGGAAAUUCUCGAAUAAACGCUAAUAAACGAUUUUGUUUAGUUAGUUUUAUCAAAACAAAAAAAAUGUGUUCUCACGUUUGUUUGCUUGAGUAAAUUAAGUAUACAUGUCCCUUUCCAACUUACAAAGGUGCUUUACUUUAGAAUACUGUGCAAGGCAAAGCCGGUCUUUUACAUACAAAGGUGUUUCACAGUAUUGUAGCAGAAGCUCGGCCGAAAAUCGCUUGAGCGGUACUAAGGUGCCAAAUAUAUACAUAUAUUGCAAUCGAAAAUAAGUGACACUUCAAACACUAACAUCAAUAAACAGCCAGUGGAAAUACUUGACAGUUCUCGUAAACUCAAAACCUUCAAACUCAAACAAGUAAAAAAGAAGAGUGGGAGAAUGUCAACACAAAGAUAUGGGCUUGAAAAAUCUAAUGCAUGAAAUGGAGAUGAGCACGCGGCCAAGUAAAGAGUGAAUGCCAGCAGAAAGUCCAAAUUGUAAAGGAGAAGGCCGUCAUGUAACAGUUUAAAGUUUAUAUCUGGCAUGGAGUAUGGGCAAAUAAAGAUGACCAGAGCUACCGAAACCUGAUAGUAUUUUUGAAGUUGAGAAUACCGGAAAUUCCACAUUCCAUUAUGGUCCCAAUAGAGGACACCUGGGGACAGCGGUAACCAAAGAAAUAAUAUCGAAUCGGCGGUAUUCCCACUCCGCCGUGUAUCGAAUACAGACUCUUGGGAGACCUAUAAGCAAGAUAAAAGGUGUCCGCUUAAGAGAUGUCCGAUCGCGACAACCGAAGGUAGGUUGAGAGAGGAGCAUAAGUACCGAAUAGGAAUGACAGAUGAAAGAUAGUUAUCAUUAACUGCAUCCUGAAUGUUUUUACUGAGAAAAUAACAUAAGAUUUAAUUAGCGAUAUGAACUGCAGUGCUUAGUUAGAAAGUAAACUGAAAGUAUACUGUGAAAGAUUUAUAUGCAGAGUUACGGUGUAAUUAGGAAAUCAGAGCGGAACACACCCUUUUUUAUUUUGUUCUACCUUAACGGUCUGUAUUCUGCACUUGUUCCGUAAUUUUAAGCAAAUAGUAAAUAAUUGAGUAAUAAACGGUCUACUAAAUUAUGUUACUUUAAUACAACAACCCAGUGAAAGAAGUCCAACGAUUUGGUAGAUCAUCGGGACUCUUUUAGCAAACCCGCGUUGAACAGCAAGCUGUACAACAUGUUGAGCCCUUUAUAAUUAACAUUAUAUCCAAUUUUUUCUUUGUAAGAAUAUUGUGAGAAGCAGCAAAAAUAAGCCACAUAGUAGCAUUGAUAAUGAUGGAUGAAAUUUUUUAUGACGAGGAAACACAAAACUUCAAGAAAAAACAGAAGACAACUGGAAGAAAAUGAUGGUGUUAAUAGUGGUACCUAAAAAUAAAUGCAUUUUCCACUAGGAAAUGGAUUUUAAAAACUACUGCGGAUGAAGGACAGUAUUUCAACAGUGGUAUGGAAGCCUUAUGGCCUUUAUUAAACCAGAAAACAUGUUUAUGCGAGAAGCUUCGCCCACUAAAAAUCAAAAUAUUUUGAUAUAUGAUAAACGGUAGUAACACUACAUCGCCAAGCUACACACAAUGCAAUAUACUGCGUAGCACGCUGUAUCGUGUGUACUUUGCAUUACAGUAUUCAGCCCUGAUAAAUGGGCAGUGCGUAACACUUUAGUCCUUUAUAAGGCCCCUAUUAUAGAAUUGUAAGUCUAUUAAGUGAUAAAUAUUAAUUUGUGCUACGAUUUGUGUGAAAUUGGUGCUAUAUCUUCAUUUAAAGGUUGAAAAUGCUUUGUCAAGUCACAAUUUGGAAUUUGCUCCAAUGCGAAGUUUGGUCGAAUUUACGUUCGGUUCUGCUCGCUUUCAAAUACCAAAUUAACUUUCAUACAUGCUUCUCUAAGGUUAAGGAAUAUUAAAAAUAAAAUGGUAAAUACGAUGGAGAGCUUCAAUCCUUCAACACCAAUGGGAGUAUUUUUAGACAUAUUGAACAUAUCAAUGGAUAGCUAAAUGAAUUCAGCAUCUGUUAAAAUAUUUUAAAACUUAUAUACAUAGUAUUUUCAUGCAAAUAUAAUUUAAGCCAAAAUUUAUAGCUAUGAAAUACAUUUAAAAAAUUCUUGUAUAGCAUAUAUAUGCAGCUCUGAAACUUUGAGCUUGAAUUAAUGUGUGUUUGUUGUAAAUAAAAGAAGCAUACAAAUUUAAGCUUUGCCUUUGUGCUGAUAAAAAUAUUGUAUUUUUAAAUUCAGUUUUAUGAACUACAGGUUCUUCUAAGUAAUGAUUUUAUACGUCUUCUUCUUAAUCUGCUAACCGAUAAAAACAAGUGAAGCUACGUUGUUCUCCACCUGAUCGGGUGAGUUCCAAAACGUCAGUUGCAAAGCAACCAUACAUUGUCACGCUUUCCUAAAUGCAGUAGAGCAAACCAUGAUAAUGUAUCAUGUUCCAAAAUGCGUCGGCAAUGUUAUUGAUGCGCAGACAAAAGUAAACUGCCCAUCGCUAAGGUUUGUGAUGCUUUGUUUUAUGAUAAAUUCUUAACGGUCGACGGCGGAGAGCAAGUUAUUUGCGCUAAUUAUUUUUUUUAACUUCAUAUUACUUGUCUUUUUUAUCUGUUUCGUAUUUUAGCCAUUUCACCGAAAAGCAACUUAUUUGCACGAAAAGCGUUCCAAAAUGUCAGAGUUUGCGAAGUAUUGUUGGAAAGCAAAUCUAUAGAAUACAGGGUUGCAUUGUUUCACAACCGCAUCAAUAUAAGGUAGUUGGAUGUUUCAGAACUCGCCCAUCCUUAUACAGUCAAAGAUAAAAGUUUAAAUACAUCUAUAAGAUUCAACUUUUUAUUAAUUUUAAGCAUUUUAGAGUAAGUGUACGAAUGCUGUUUAAUUGAAGUGUAUAACUAAUCAAUAAUGCAAUCCAAAAAAAUAUUCCACGUCGCUUAAAUCACUUAAAACCAUGCGGGACAAAAGUUUAAAUACAACACAUAUUAUUUCUUGUUUCGACCAAAUUAAACUCAAAAUAAAGGUGUUUAAAACAAUUAUAAUAUUUUGUUGGCCCACCUCAUGGUUCUAUAACUACCUUUAGAUGACGUGGGGGUAAAUGUAACCAAAUUUUCUAUUUCCGAUGACGCAAUCUAAGACUAUGCCUUUUUCAGAUAUUCUUCCAAGACUUAUUUGCUGGUUGAAGCCGCCAUAGCAAUUUUUCGUGCCAAUAACUCCCAAAUCUGCUCAUUGGGGUUCAAGUCUGAUGAUUUCGGCGGACUAUAAAGCUGACGAGGAGCAUAAUGCAAUAGUCAUUCCUUCCCCAAGCCCGCUGUUUGGUAAGGUCCGUUAUCUUGUUGAAUUAUCUACGAACUUCCGAGACCCAAUGAAUCCAUGCAACAAGGGUCUUUCUCCAGUGGAAAAUUUAUUACUUGUUCUGAUGGAAACUGAAGGGAAGCCAAAAAAGUAGUACAAAAUUGUUCAAAAACAAAUGAAGGCUUCGAGGCCGAAUUCAAAUACCUCUGCCAUAGAUACGAAAGUAAGUUUCAGUUAGUUAAGGCACAAUUUAAAAUUUUAUUUAGUCUGUCGCCCAUUUAGGAAAAUGAUUGCAAUUCUCUGAAGCAAUUACAGUGAAAAAUAAAUAAUUGCGUGUCAUUUUUAAAGAACCAUAAAAUUGGUUGUUUCAAUAGUGACAUACUUUUGCACAUUUAAAAUACCAGAUGACAAUAAAGCCCUAUGGGACUGUACUGAGAUUCCAACCUAGGAGGAGCUUGAUGGCUUCCUGACAAGCCGGUUCAGGCCAUCGAAGCAGUGGCACAAAAAACGAUUCAAAGAACGCAUAGCCGCUUAAGCCGCAUGCCAAUAAAUAUUGUCAUAAUCAAGAGACCCGCCGUAAAAGGCUUGCCUCAUAUCAAGUGAGUGUCCUCAAACCAAACUAUCCUAUGUGUGACACCAGCAUAAAUUUUGCUAUUGCUCAGACUUUGGAAAAUUACUUCAAAAGAACGAUUGAAGAUAGUUAAACGUCAUCAAGUAUGUAUAAACUGCGCUUAUUGCCAUUUACGCAUCACACUCUUCUACAUAUAUAACCUAUGAUUUAGAAGACAAUUGAUAAAAAAACUACAAACCACCAGAGACGACAUGCCAUGCACAUCCGCAUAAGCACGUGAGAACCUAAACCCGCGGAAAUCAAAUAAUGUGCAAUCCUGCAAUCCAUGCUUGGGCAAACUCAGGAACUUUGUUGGGUUUUCGAGUUCUCUUAAAUGCAGGAGGUACCAACUAUUCAGAAUACUAAUUUAUCACCGAAUCACAUAAACGGUACAAGCAUGUUUUGUUCAACUUUGCUCACCAAUCAAUCAUCUGCUUAAUAUGAACGCCUAUCUUUUAAUUUGACCGCGACUAACUGAAGAUCUCCCUUUUCCUCAAAUCAGCGCAAAGACAGUUCAAGUAUUUCUAGACUUAGCUCUGGCGGUUUAACGGUAUCUACAUGAGUACAGAGGAAAGACGCUGUCAGUAUACCUCUCGCAAAAACCCGAGUAGCCCCAGUCAAGACAAUAUCUGUACUAAGUCUUGAACUUCGCCGGGCAGUAUUGCUAGCUGAAUUUAUAGAAUUAUUAAUAAUCAACCGUAGCUUAGCUGAUACAAAAAUUCGUUUAUGGACGGAUUCAACCACUUUGCUGGCAUAGACACUCAAGCCUACGUGUUCAUCGUCAACUUUCGUCGCACAUAGAAUCACAAAGAUUGUUAAAAAGGUUGGAAAUAAGACCUGGUAAUAUGUCGACUCAGCAACUUAUCCAGCGGAUCUAGCUAUCAGACGACUUUCAGCAUCCGAUUUAAUAAAGACUAGCCUGUGGUGAAAAGGAUCUACAUGGCUUGAAAGGGAUCCGUCGAAAUAGCAUAAGCAGAAAAUAAUAAUAACGGUGUUAUGAGGACGCAUCACGUGAUCUCGCGUAUAGCGACCGUCAUCCAAUAAUACUAUCCAACAAUUGCAGAUUGUCACGUCUGAUUGUCCAUUUCAUCCAUGAAAUCUCCUUACAUGCAGAUGAUGUUACACCUCAUUCGAACGCCCUUUUGGAUUGCACAGAUAUAGAGCAUGGAUCGGAUCCAUUAUAUAUAAUUGUAGAGCCUUUACCAAUAUUGGUGUCGGUGUUGCAGGUCCGUUUGAAAUUAAAAGCUACAGCGACAGAGGUUGUCGAAUCUCCUAGUCUGCCUAUUUGUUUGCUUUUCAACAACGCCACCCGUUUGGAAGCAAUUAGUGAAUUGAGCACUCAAUAAUUUCUGUCAGCAUUUUCCAUGUUUGUCUGUGGGCGACGGUGUCCAUUUCGAUAACGGCACCAACUUUGUAGAAGUCUCACUAUCACUAAGACUCAGCCUUUAUUGCAGAUGCUCGUGAUAGCAUCGUUUCCAAAUAUGCGUUUCAAGAAUUAAAUUGGCGUUUUAUUCCAGCUUCAGCUUCUGAUAUGGAAGGACUGCGGGCAGCUUGAGUAAAAAGUUUUAAAAAUCAUUUUAAGAAAAUCACAUCGAGUUUUAAGUUUACGUUUGAGAAGCUAAGUACGUUGUUGUGCUGAGCUGAGAUAUGUCUCAACUCGCGACCACACUAUCCUUCCUCAAAUAACGCAACUGACUUUGAACUAUUGCCUGGAGUCAGCCAGUUUCUGGUUGGUGGACAUUUGUUAGUACCACCGGAUCCUAGUGUCAACGAAAAAUCAGUUGUUAAUAGGUAGCAGAUGCUAAAGGCUUUACACCACUCGUUUUGCAGAUGAUGGAAAAAUAAAUAUUCAAUGGAGAUGCAAAACCGCAUCAAAUGGAUACACCCACAACAUUUAAUUACAGGAGACUUAUUGUUUAUCAAGGAAGCUAACCUGCCACCUAACGAAUGGCGACUGGGAAGAAUCCUCCAAUUCCAGCCAGUGGAUCUUUGGACUGAAAGAGGACAAAUAACAAGAUCCCUUGUCAAAUAUCACACCUAAACCAAUACAAAAGCUUAACUAAAAUCACCUAAAACAAAUCUAUAAAUGAAAAAUCAAUAAAAUAAACAGAAAAAGAACACCACGAUUAUAUACAUAUACAAAUGUAAAUAUAAAGAUAACAGAAGCCAAGAAAUUUGACUCACCAUUGUCGUACGACUGUUCUGAGGAUCCACUUCAUUAUUAUGUGUUCUACUGUUUGAAUAUUUUUACAGAGCAGUACCCAAAUUAAAGUUAAAUGACGCAUUAUGGAAAAAUCAGCUUUUUGUCAAUUAUAAAUCAAAAUAUACACACUCACACCACCAUGACCACAAAUGGCGCAUUUUCAACAGUACGAAGCACAUUUUAAACCUUAUUAAAAUCAACAUUCCUUAUUACUACAUAUGUGUUACGUAUAUUAAUUUGGAUUUUCGCUUAUAACUAUACAUGUUUAUGAUUGUACAUUUAUACUUUAAAUCAAAUUCGCCACUAUUAAAAUGCACUUUUCAGCAGAUUUUAUUGAUGUCAGUUUCUGCUGAGUUGGUGCCUGGCUAGCGAGAUGUCUGCAAGCAUUUCACCCAGGUCCAAAUAACAACGCUCUACGUCAGAUUUCAAAUCGCUUGAAUACUUGUAUAAGAAUAAUUUAAUUUCCAGGUUUAGGUCAUAGACAGAACAGUGAACUUCUUUUCCGGGGUAGUGUAAAACGUCGAUUUGUCGAAGGCCAGCAUUUUUACUAGGAAAGCCGCUGUCUAUAAAUAUGAAUGUGUCAUUAGUUCUGGGCGAGUGGUGUUUGUAUCGUAGUAGUAAUAUAUAUACAAUACUUGUUUGGAAUGACGAAUGUUCACUUAUGUUUAAUUCUUCAGCAUUAAAUUAAA
This 7713-nucleotide unclassified non-coding RNA is filed under the name Ceratitis capitata (Mediterranean fruit fly). RNAcentral describes it as "pRA1 family protein 3, transcript variant X4". Lineage: Eukaryota; Metazoa; Arthropoda; Insecta; Diptera; Tephritidae. The record is from RNAcentral.